AGUGAACGCUGGCGGUAGGCCUAACACAUGCAAGUCGAACGGCAGCACAGUAAGAGCUUGCUCUUACGGGUGGCGAGUGGCGGACGGGUGAGGAAUGCAUCGGAAUCUACUUUUUCGUGGGGGAUAACGUAGGGAAACUUACGCUAAUACCGCAUACGACCUACGGGUGAAAGCAGGGGAUCUUCGGACCUUGCGCGAUUGAAUGAGCCGAUGUCGGAUUAGCUAGUUGGCGGGGUAAAGGCCCACCAAGGCGACGAUCCGUAGCUGGUCUGAGAGGAUGAUCAGCCACACUGGAACUGAGACACGGUCCAGACUCCCACGGGAGGCAGCAGUGGGGAAUAUUGGACAAUGGGCGCAAGCCUGAUCCAGCCAUACCGCGUGGGUGAAGAAGGCCUUCGGGUUGUAAAGCCCUUUUGUUGGGAAAGAAAAGCAGCAGGUUAAUACCCCGCUGUUCUGACGGUACCCAAAGAAUAAGCACCGGCUAACUUCGUG
This 492-nucleotide ribosomal RNA is filed under the name uncultured bacterium. RNAcentral's name for it is "partial 16S ribosomal RNA". It matches the Rfam family "Bacterial small subunit ribosomal RNA", at positions 29 to 507 of the family's 1533-position model. The record is from RNAcentral.